GACGAAGGUGGCAAGCGUUGUUCGGUGUUACUGGGCUUAAAGAGUGUGUAGGCGGAAGUGUAAGCGCCCUGUGAAAUCCCCCGGCUUAACCGGGGGAAUCGCUUGGCGUACUGCUCUUCUUGAGGCAAGUAGGGGUGCACGGAACUCUUGGUGGAGCGGUGGAAUGCGUAGAUAUCAAGAGGAACGCCGGAGGUGAAAACGGUGCACUGGGCUUGCCCUGACGCUGAGACACGAAAGCGUGGGGAGCGAACGGGAUUAGAUACCCCAGUA
Molecule: ribosomal RNA, 270 nt
Filed under: uncultured prokaryote
Description: partial 16S ribosomal RNA
Rfam family: Bacterial small subunit ribosomal RNA
Source: RNAcentral